Molecule: non-coding RNA, 23 nt
Filed under: Arabidopsis thaliana (thale cress)
Lineage: Eukaryota; Viridiplantae; Streptophyta; Magnoliopsida; Brassicales; Brassicaceae
Source: RNAcentral
GAAGGCUGCUGGUGCAUUGGUCA